GGCACGCACAAGCACAAACAAAUGUCACACAUGGCGGACACAAAGUGACAAGUCUCAACAGAAUUAAGCAUUUUCUCAUGUCAUGUCGGAGAAGUUCUCAACCGCUGAUUUUGUAUACAGCUGUACUUAGUAUUUCUAAUUUAAUUUUUACGUCUACCGAAUUGCGGUGAGCUCAUAGCUGGCUACGGGCAUGGACGUGAGAUGACCAGGGUGAGAACCCCUGGUCUGGGCAUUCUGCCUCAUUGAAGGAUUAUUUCCUACAGCCUCAGUGGUGGCGGUCGUGCCUCAUAUGUUGAACCAAGUAAGGUGUGGCCUCACUCUGCUGCCGUCAGCCAUAUCGGCAGCAUGCUAGUCACAGCUUUUCAUCUGUUCAGUUUAUUCUUUUUAGGUCUGGCUGCCGUCCCGGUGCCCGUUCAACCCGGGGAUCUGACCCUCCAGCCGGGCGCUGCCAUCACGCUCACCUGCAGUCUGGCGUCCGACAUGUCGAGCUACACUAUGCUCUGGUACCGACAGCAAGUCUACGGUGAUCCCAUCGAGUUCAUCAUCCAAGAAUACGACACCAGUCGGGGUCGCUUCAAAGCCACUCUGGACACAAACCAGAACCGCUUCUCGCUGGGAAUAAGCGAGUUGCAGGUGAACGACAGCGGGACGUUCUACUGCGCAGCCUAUCCCCGCGACACGCCUGGGUGCAGCAGGCGUACACAUACCGUCACUGGGCUACGUUCAUAGCGCUGUGGAGGAGCGGGUAUCACAGAUGUCGAGGGUGCCGUGAGACCUCGUGGUUUUGAUAGAAGUCGAGAUAGCCAACUGUCAGGCCGGCGGUUUGAUUGGUGAAUAUGCAAGCUAUGCAGGCGUUCUCAAAACAGUGCAGUUGUUAUCAUUAUUUAUUAUUGAAGGUUUAGUUACACAUGGACAGUGCAAAUUAAUAAACAUGAAAAAUU
Molecule: non-coding RNA, 941 nt
Organism: Gadus macrocephalus (Pacific cod)
Lineage: Eukaryota; Metazoa; Chordata; Actinopteri; Gadiformes; Gadidae
Source: the annotation of a RefSeq genome assembly